Molecule: ribosomal RNA, 497 nt
Filed under: uncultured bacterium
Lineage: Bacteria
Description: partial 16S ribosomal RNA
Rfam family: Bacterial small subunit ribosomal RNA
Source: RNAcentral
GACGGACGCUGGCGGCGUGCCUAAUACAUGCAAGUUGAGCGAUGAAGAUUGGUGCUUGCACCAAUUUGAAGAGCAGCGCACGGGUGAGUAACGCGUGGGGAAUCUGCCUUUGAGCGGGGGACAACAUUUGGAAACGAAUGCUAAUACCGCAUAACAACUUUAAACAUAAGUUUUAAGUUUGAAAGAUGCAAUUGCAUCACUCAAAGAUGAUCCCGCGUUGUAUUAGCUAGUUGGUGAGGUAAAGGCUCACCAAGGCGAUGAUACAUAGCCGACCUGAGAGGGUGAUAUGACAAACUGGGACUGCGACACGACCCAAACCCCUACGAGAUGCAGCAGUAGGGAAUCUUCGGCGAUGGACGAAAGUCUGGCCGAGCAACGCCGCGUGAGUGAAGAAGGUUGUCGGAUCGUAAAACUCUGUUGGUAGAGAAGAACGUUGGUGAGAGUGGAAAGCUCAUCAAGUGACGGUAACUACCCAGAAAGGGACGGCUAACUACGUG